Long non-coding RNA from Ailuropoda melanoleuca (giant panda), 836 nucleotides. RefSeq lists it as uncharacterized. The record is from RefSeq and is a predicted model, not a curated record. Lineage: Eukaryota; Metazoa; Chordata; Mammalia; Carnivora; Ursidae. The transcript is spliced from 4 exons.
GCCUGUCCUUCUGCUCCCUGGGAGAGGCUCAGGCUGAGGACACCUGCAGAAAGCACGCGGGUCACCCCUGCUGCAGCGGGGAGCGCGCACAGCUGCAGGCAAAGGCAAACUUGGCGUCAGAGGCACGAACAGGUUGGAAUCGUGAGGCCUACUGUGAUGGUGUCAGGAGGGGGCCUUUGGAGUUUUGCAGGUCACGAGGGUGGAGCCCCAGGAUGGGAUUAGCGCCCUUUUAAGAGAGACUGCACGGAGCUCCCAGCCCCUCCCACCAUGUGAGGACACGGGGAAGCGGGGACGUCACUGGACACCGCCCCUGCCAGGGCCUUGACCUUGGACUUCAGUCUCCAGGACCUUGAGAAAUCAGUGUGUGUUAUUUAAAACCCCAGUCAGUGCUACAGAACAGAGUAACACACUCGCUAUGUGACCUUGGACGACCACUCGAUCUUUCUUCCGCCUCUCUUCGUCCGAAAAGUGGAAAUUCACGUAUCCCUCAGCAAGCAUCUACUGAGCACCUGUCACGUAUGAGGCACCGCGUGCUGGCCACGACAGUGAUUUCCUCAGAUCUGGGGGAGGAAGGGACCCAGGAGUGCGGCAAGUUCACGGGUGGAAGACGAGGUGAUAAAACAGGUGUGCUGAUGGGGCUUUGCUAAUCCCGGCACCUGGGAGUGAGCUGCGGGCCAUGCACCCUUUGGUGUGUCCUUCAGAACCACACGAUGAACCAGCGAGGGGCAGGAUCUGAGGGUCGUGACAGCUCUUUCCCAGGCUCGAGUCCUUCUACGCCGCCUCCCAGCUCCCAGGGUGCCCUGCAACCUCCUGAAUUGACCCGUUUCAGCGUGACA